RNAcentral lists this ribosomal RNA (253 nucleotides) under uncultured bacterium. RNAcentral's name for it is "partial 16S ribosomal RNA". It matches the Rfam family "Bacterial small subunit ribosomal RNA", at positions 524 to 776 of the family's 1533-position model. The record is from RNAcentral.
UACGUAGGGGGCAAGCGUUGUCCGGAUUUAUUGGGCGUAAAGGGCGUGUAGGCGGUCAGGUAGGUCCGUUGUGAAAACUCGAGGCUCAACCUCGAGACGCCGAUGGAAACCAUCUGACUAGAGUCCGGAAGAGGAGAGUGGAAUUCCUGGUGUAGCGGUGAAAUGCGCAGAUAUCAGGAAGAACACCCGUGGCUAAGGCGGCUCUCUAGUACGGUACUGACGCUGAGACGCGAAAGCGUGGGGAGCGAACAGG